AAAAAAGGGGAGCUUGUGAAGCAGGCUGAGAGGAAGUCAUCUAACUUCGACCCGUUGACCUGAUUUGGGUAAUGCCAACGUAGGGAUUGAUUUUU
Molecule: non-coding RNA, 95 nt
Filed under: uncultured Negativibacillus sp.
Lineage: Bacteria; Bacillati; Bacillota
Description: TPP riboswitch (THI element)
Rfam family: TPP riboswitch aptamer (THI element) (bases 4-88)
About the family: Vitamin B(1) in its active form thiamin pyrophosphate (TPP) is an essential coenzyme that is synthesised by coupling of pyrimidine and thiazole moieties in bacteria. The previously detected thiamin-regulatory element, thi box was extended, resulting in a new, highly conserved RNA secondary structure, the THI element, which is widely distributed in eubacteria and also occurs in some archaea.
Source: RNAcentral